GAUGAACGCUGGCGGCGUGCCUAAUACAUGCAAGUCGAGCGAACGGACGAGAAGCUUGCUUCUCUGAUGUUAGCGGCGGUCGGGUGAUUAACACGUGGAUAACCUACCUAUCAGACUGGGAUAACUUUGGGAAACCGUAGCUAAUACCGGAUAAUAUUUUGAACCUCAUUGUUCAAAAGUGAAAGACGGUCUUGCUGUCACUUAUAGCUUGAUCCGCGCUGCAUUAGCUAGUUGGUAAGGUAACUGCUUACCAAGGCAACGAUGCAUAGCCGACCUGAGAGGGUGAUCGGACACACUGGAACUGAGACACGGUCCAGACUCCUACGGGAGGAAGCAGUAGGGAAUCUUACGCAAUGGGCGAAAGCCGGACGGAGCAACGCCGCGUGAGUGAUGAAGGUCUUCUGAUCGUAAAACGAUGUUAUUAGGGAAGAACAUAUGUGUAAGUAACUGGGAACAUCAUGACGGUACCGAAACAGAAAGCCACGGCUAACUACGUG
Molecule: ribosomal RNA, 497 nt
Filed under: uncultured bacterium
Lineage: Bacteria
Description: partial 16S ribosomal RNA
Rfam family: Bacterial small subunit ribosomal RNA
Source: RNAcentral